Molecule: long non-coding RNA, 8195 nt
Filed under: Physcomitrium patens
Lineage: Eukaryota; Viridiplantae; Streptophyta; Bryopsida; Funariales; Funariaceae
Description: long non-coding RNA (PPAT_LNC000367)
Source: RNAcentral
CUUCUGGCUGUCACUAAAUACUCAAUCAAGUUUGAAAUAUAAGGAUAACAAUUUUAUAUAUAUAAACUCCUCUCCUUUGGAGCAAUUACAUCAAUAUACAAGCCUUAAAAUCCAAAGAACACCAAAAUACUUGAUAAGGUGUUAUAAAAAACUUAUAUUUCCUUAUGAGGAAUUUUUCCUGAAGUUCAACAGCUCAUAACUUACGAUCUAACCGUCUAAACAACUCCAAAUUUUACAUGGAGUACUGAUAUAUCUUUAGCAACUACCACACCAAAAUUCAACCAUAAAUUCGUCUUGGAUCUUGUGAUAUCUUGAAAACCCUAACUGUAGCUUCAAACCCUAGCAUUUUUACACCCGUGUACAACUUCCUUCAUAUCUCACAAAGUAAUUAUUCAAAUACUAUGAAACUUUGAUCUAAAGCUUUUUAACCCAAUUAUACACACUUGUAGAAAUUUUGAGCCAAAAAUUCGUCCAGAAACUCAAGAUAUGGCUUCACCCAUAACUAUUAACAAAACGAUAUACUUACUGCCUUCAAAUUACAAGUGCUGUCUUCAACGCCUCAUAACUCCUUCACCCAAUCUUAGAAUUCACUAUAUAGUAAGUAGAAUGUGUAGCCGAGAAAAUGCUCCCUCCAAAUCCAGUCGCCGAUCUUCCGUUGCUCUCCGUAUUCGUAUGUGAUGCCCAAAAGAAGUGACAGUAGGUAUGAAAUUGACACCUUAUCUUUGAACAUUCAUAUCUUUUCCAUAAAAACUCGAAAUCACACAAAAUCUUCACCCAAAUUAUACCCAAAAUCAUAAACCUUCUGAUCCUAGCCUCAAAAGCUCGAAUGGCCUCGAAAGAGGAACCCUAAUUCCUAAUAUGGCCUCGGGCAGCCUCCUCAAAGCCCAUUGGGCAUGGUAUUCGACCAAUAGGGAUGAAGUUCUUCACCCCUUGCCUUCAUCCAACCAUGCCUUACUUUCAUCCUUCCCAAUAAGCCUCCUUCUAGUUAUAUUUUCAUCUUUUAACUCCUCCCUUCCCUUAAUCUUUAUACUAACUAUCUAAAUCCUAUAUAAUAUAAACUCUAUGAUCAAACUAGAUUAACUUCCAAAUAAUUUUUCUUAUUUCAAUUCAUUUUAAAUUAACAUACUAACUAUUCUAACUCACAUUAAGACUUAUAAACAUAUUACAUGUUUUCACUAAUUUUUACAUACUGUAAGUAAUUACAGUACGACAUCCACCUCCUCCAAACCUGCACAUCCUCCGGUAUGUACCACAUACUACUCUUCUUUAUCCUUUUGAGACUUCUUGGAAUCACUCAUAGAGUCUUCUUCUUCAUGUUCUUGGUCCAAAUAUUGAGGUAAGAAUUCUUCAAGAUCUUCUAUUUGAAAUCGCCCAUCUCUUCUUUUGAAAGCCUUCACCCUCUUUCCUGCUAUUGGAAUUCUAAUGAUAGCUCUAUCUAACUCACGUAAGUUAUAUGUGGCAUUAUCAUGGACUAUAACCACCACAUAUGGUCCAAACCAUUUUUUUGUAAAUUUCUUUACAGUACUAUGUUGAUGCUCAAGGCUGCUAUCAUAAACUAGAACCCAAUCUCCAAUCUCUAUAGGUUUAGGCCUUAACCUAUGAGUCUUAUCAAACAUCUCUUUAUUUUUCAAUCUUGCUUCCUUUAACCUCUCAAUUGCAAUUUGUAGGUCCUCAGGUAAUCUUCUUAACUGUUGGAUUCGAAGCUCUAAUAACCUUUCUCUAUUAAUGUUAUCUUUCCAAGACAAAAACAUCCAUGUAGGAUAGGUUGCUUCAGCAGGCAUUAUAGGUUUUUGUCCUAGCAUUAAUUCCAUAGGCAUAUAACCAGUGACAGUACUAUGAGUAGUUCUAUCAGCCCAUAAAGCAAAUGGAAGCAGUUUAGGCCAUUGAAUUGAUUUACCCUUAUAUGCCUUAACCAAUGCAUAAAUGAUUGGAGGAUGACCUCUUUCACUCUUUCCAUUGGCUUCAGGAUUAUAAGAAGUAGUCAACUUCAAUUGAACUCCGUAUCUUUUGAAAAAUCUCUUGCUUCUAUGGCAUCCAAUUCUCCUCUAUCAGCUCUCAUCCUCCCAAUAUAGCCAUAUCUGCUGAAGAUGUCUUCUAAUAUAAACCUGCAUAUUGCUUCUGUGGUCUUGGUUCUCAAAGCCCUUCUUUCAACAUAGUUUGAUAACUCUUCUCUUGCUAAAACCAAAUAUUUCAUACCCCAUAAUCUUGAAGGCAUAGCUACCAAAUCAAUUACCCAUUGAAAAUGUAUAGAAGGUGGAUAAGUAGGAUGUAAUCCAUCUCUAUACCUAACCUUAGAUUGUAGUUGGCACUCUGUGCAUGAACUCACAAAGUCUUCUACAUCUUUGUAUAAACCCUUCCACCAAUACCUUUCUUUGAUCUUAGUAUAUGUGGCCCAAACUCCUCUAUGUCCUGCCCAAAGUGUAUCAUGAUAUUCUCUUAAAACCUUAAUUUUAGUUUCAAGAUCUCCUAUAACUCUCAAUGGGAUUUUGUCACCUCUUUUUGGCCUCUUCCAUAGAAAUCCAUCCCUGAGUAUAUAACCAUAGGAUUGGUAUCUAAUAUCUUUGAAGGUUUUGUCCAUCUACCCUUCUUGUUUUUUCAUUGUGCUUAAAUAAAUUCCAACAUCCUUCAACUUGCCUUCAUACGUACCUUCAUAGAAAUUUUGAACCUUGUCACCAAAAUCCAUUCUACCAGUAGCAAAUGAACUUCCAUAAUUCUUCUCUUCUUCAUCUUCACCUCUUUCAUAUCCCAUCAUCUCUUCUUCAAAUGUAUAUCUAGCUCUGGACAACAUAUCUGCCACCAAGUUCUCUUUACCAGUAAUAUGUACCAAAACAGGGUUUAAUGUCCUUAUAUAGGCUAUCCAUCUUAGCAUGGCAAUAUCUGGAGUAGUACAGUUAAUUAUCAUUCUAAGUAAUGGCAAACAAUCUAUUUCCAAAACCAUACUUGCUCCAAUCAAAUAAUUCCUCUCAACCUUUAAUGCUAUAAGCACUCUCCAAAGCUCUCUUUUAACUUGUGGAUAAGCCCUUUGUCUCUUUGUAAGAACCCUAGCUCCAAACCUUAUAGCAAAUCUUCUUCCUUCUACAUCAUUUUGUCCAAUAGCCCAUCCAAUUGCUAUAGGGCUUAUAUCCACUGUUACAACUACUGGUCUUUCACAUUGAUAAUCCACUUGUUUAAGCACAGGUGGUGAACUCAACAUUUUUUUUAGAUUUUCCAUAGCUGUUUCUUGUUCUUCUUCCCAUACAAAUUUCUUACCCUUCCUUAAUAACUUAUAUAGUGGCUCUGAGAUAUGGGCAAAGUGUGGCACCCAAAUGUGAUAGAAUACAUAUGCUCCUAAAAACCCUCUGGCUUCUAUAACAUUUUUACAAGCCUUAAUUCUAGAUAUAGGAUCAAUCUUAUCAGGGUUUGGUUUCCUACCAUACCUGCCACACAUGCGCCCCACCACUAGAAUCUCAUCAACUCCAAAGCUUGAUUUCUCCAAAGAUAACGUGAGAUUAACUGACUCCAAUCUUUCCAAUAUCUGAGCCACAUCUUCAAUAUGUUUCUUCACAAACUUUCUACAACCUUCAAACUCCAUAGUCUCAUCCUUGUCUUCUUCUUUAUCUCCUUUUAUAGGUAUAUCAUCUAGAAAUGGAAUGGUUUUCUGAGGCACAAAUUCUUUUAAUAUUUGAUUCAUAGCAUUUUGCAUAUGAGCCACUGAGUUGGUUGCACCUUGAGGUAGCGUACACAUCCUCAUUAAACCCAAAGGAGUCUUCAUGGUAGUUAAAUCUCUACUCUCUUUAGCCAAUUGAAAUUGGUCAUAUCCAGAAUAUAAGUCUACAAUAGAAUAAAUGGCAUGACCUGUAAAUUGUUCAGCCACUUUAUCUACUAUGGGACCUGAUCCCAUAUUUCGAAUAGUCACCCUGUUUGCAAGUUGCAUAUCCUGAAUAAACCUUAAUGCCUUUGACUUCUUGGGUACUGUGAACCAUCUAUUAGAAUAGGGAGCAAUUGAAGGUUCCAAAAUGUCCAUCUUCACCUUCUCUUAUAAUAAUUCUAUCAAUUUUGGAAGUAAAGCUCUAGGCACAGGUAUAGGCUUUAAAUCCCAUGGAACAUGUGGCACUGUAAAGAUUACCAUACAUACUAUAAUACUAGGAUCCACACAUCCGAUUUCAUCAGGACUUAAGGCAAAUGCCUUACCAUGUCUAAUAAGUAUUUCUUGAAACAUAUCUUCCUCCGUUGAUGUUAAGAAGUCACCCCCUCCAAUCUUCAACUUAGCUAAUGAUUCUUGUGUAAAUUGAUGUUCAAUUCGACGCCUCUCUCUUAGACUUGGCUCCAUAACUGCUUGUUUAAUAUGCUCCAUAUUAUCAACUAGUAAUUGUGUAGCUACAGGCUUUACCUUUCUUGCCAAAGUUUUAUAUUUAGUUUGUACUCUAGCCUCAUGCUUCAAUCCAUAGUUUGUAGCAAGUCCACCAUUUGCUACCAUCUUUUCUAAUCUUUCAUAAGUCCUUCUUGAAUAUAUUUCUACUAUAGCAUCUCCAUCUAUGUUUAUAGUCAGAUUCUCCAAAACCUUUAUCAAAUCAUCUUACGAACCUAUUUUUUCUAUUACUCCAACUAUGGCUUCAUCACUUGAAACUAAAUCCACUCUUUUUAAGUUCUUCUCUUGUUUCUUUACCCUUUUUUAUUUAUAGAAUCUAAAUCUUUAAACUUUUGAACACUCACAAAUCCAUUACUAGAUAAGUUCAAAAAUCCAAAACUCAUACUAUCUACACUGGGGUUUGUAGAUGAAUCAUUUGCACCCAUGUGCCACCAUCUUACAAGGGUGCUUUUUAGAAAUCCACAAAGUUAUUUCUUAGCUCCAAGGGCAUCCCUCUUAAUUGUUCUCUGUGUCUCUCAUGGAUAGGUUUCACAGUAAUAAAUUGCACAGCUUUUCUCCCAUCCCAACUCCGAAUUCUGGCAUAAUGUGAACCAUCAUUCAAGACUCUAGUCUCCAUUCUAGCAGCUGUAAUAUAAGGUUGACCAAGUAUUACCGGAUAUGUAGCAGAGUUUUGCACAAAGAAAUUUUGCUCCACUUCUACAUCUCCAAUUCUAGUCUUUACAGCUGGACAAGCUCCAUGUAAAACACCUUGUUGAUUGUUUGCAGCUUUGAUUAUCCAACCAUGGUUGAUAUCAAUUGGCCACUUAUUCUUCUCAUAUAUCUUCCUUGACAUGAUGUUGAUUUCAGAUCCAUGAUCAACCAGGGCCAAAAUUGGAUCUUUAAAGUCCCCCAAUCUCACAUAUGUUUCUGUAGUAGCUCUAGCCCAAUAAGGAACUGAAUAACUACUACUCUCUAUUCCCUCAUUUUCACAUUUGGAGCAAGUAUUAACACUUGCUUCUUGUGCAUCCUUCCUUAUCCCUAUAAAUCCCAAAGGUGUGCAUUCCACUUAAUGCUCUCUUUUACCUUCAACAUAUUUAAAUGAAACCUUGUUUUCCAUAUCAACCUUAUUUCUAGUUUCAGACAUUGCAAAUUGUACAAAUACCUGUCCUAUCUCUUCUUCUUCAUCCACAGUUACCCGAGUAUCCAAUGCCUCUACCAUAAUAGCUUCUGCUGUCAUUUGCCUCUUCCUCUUUAUCACAUUGAUGAUUAAUUCAUGAAAAUCCUUCUUGGCUAUGCCUAGAGCCUCUCUUAGAGUGAAUUCAAUCUUUGCAUCCAAGAUCUUCUCCUCUAAAAUACUCUUCAUAUCUGUAGAUGAUUCAAUCUCAGAUUGAAGUUUAUAAGCAGGAGUUUUACCUUUAAGUUUGCUUGUAUCUUCUUUCUCCUUUUCUUUGCCCUUCUCCCACCACUCUUUUGAUAAUGGUGCACUACCAGGAUGAGUAGAAGAAGAUACCUUCUCAGUUUUUUGCUCCUUAGAAGCUUCUUUAUUUCUUGGAGACCUCCUCUUAUUUUCAGGCUCAAUAACAUCUUCUUCAUGAAUAGUUCUACCUCUUUUUUCUUCAACCAUAGCAUUAUGCAUAUCAUCAUCAUGCUUGUCUCCACACAAAUAUGCUUUAAUGCUAAUAGCAUCAACUGGAUCAUUCCACCCAGUUUUCUUUCUGAUAGCUUCAGCUCCCCUCAUCAUGACUCCUUUAGUUGGCAAAGAAACAGCCUUAACUCCCUUUUGUUCAACUGUAAUAGAAUAAGACUCAGCUCCUUUCCCUUUUAUGGCACUAUUCUUUGAUGUUUGCUCCUCUACUAAUUUUUUCAUGCCACCCUUCCCAAAAUUAGUCUUUAGAGGCUCAUCUGACCCUGUGAGUCUUAUCCUGCCCUCUUUGAAAUAUACAAUACCAUCCUUGAUUGCAGCCUUAUAGCUAUCACACUCACCACGCUUAUGGUUUGGAUUGUCACACCACAUACAUCUUUCUAUAAAUCCCUUUGAGCCUUCAAUUAUCUUUGAUGAGCUUGCCAUCUGGAAUUUCUUCAAUUCAGUCAUUUCCACCUUCAAGUCCUGUAUGCCCUUAAUUAGGUCUUCAAGAGUACCAUCCUUAACAGUCUUGAUUCCGUUUUGAGGUGGCAUUAGAUUUUGAGAUGCAGGCAUUGGCUCCAACUUUGGUAAUAAUCCACGAGUCUUAAUCUUUUGUUGCCUAGCCAAAAGCCCCACUGUCUCUUUUACUAGCUUUGAUUCAUUAAUAAAACCACUCUCAGAUGUCUUAUCUGCUAGGUAAAAGAGUAGCUUAUCCUCCAAAUAUUCAUCAGCUGCUUGUAAAAACAAUCCAGUCUUCCUUGUUUCCAAAAGCUCCCUCUCUUGUCGUGGUAACUGUCCAAACUUAGCCUCAAAUUCCCUCAUUAAUUCAUUGGGAGGCAUUUGAUUCCCUGGCCUUUGCUCAAUCCAAUCCAAAAAAGUUUUUUUUGUCAUUCUUUCUGAAUCCUCCUCAAAAAACUCAUCUUUCAAGAGUUCUUCAAAUUUCUUCCAUGAUAUAGUCUCAGUAUGCAACUCUUGCAUCCUCUCUCUGAUUUCUGGUAUCACUGCCAAAUCAAAGGUAGAAAUCAUCUUUACUUCUGAAACCUGAUGCACUUCCAUUUCACAUGUAUAAACCCUGAGGAACUAAGUGAUGUUCCUCCCAUCAAACCUCCCAACCUUAUCCACCACUACUUGUAAAGCUUUGGUGGUAUUCUUAUCCUCUCCAUGCACCUGUUGCCUUUCUUCCAUAAAUUGAGCAAAUGCCCUGAAUAAAUCAUGAGCACCUACUCCACUUGGUAAUCCAAACCCUGGAACUUGAUCCCCCAUUCUAACUUAUUGAGAAUUUUAGUGCCUUAAGGCUCUCUCAGUGGAAGCACCAAAUAUGUCGGGGUAGAGAGAGUUUGCCUCAAGAAAGCGCUGGGCUUCUGGCUGUCACUAAAUACUCAAUCAAGUUUGAAAUAUAAGGAUAACAAUUUUAUAUAUAUAAACUCCUAUCCUUUGGGGCAAUUACAUCAAUAUACAAGCCUUAAAAUCCAAAGAACACCAAAAUACUUGAUAAGGUGUUAUAAAAAACUUAUAUUUCCUUAUGAGGAAUUUUUCCUGAAGUUCAACAGCUCAUAACUUACGAUCUAACCGUCUAAACAACUCCAAAUUUUACAUGGAGUACUGAUAUAUCUUUAGCAACUACCACACCAAAAUUCAACCAUAAAUUCGUCUUGGAUCUUGUGAUAUCUUGAAAACCCUAACUGCAGCUUCAAACCCUAGCUUUUUUACACCCGUGUACAACUUCCUUCAUAUCUCACAAAGUAAUUAUUCAAAUACUAUGAAACUUUGAUCUAAAGCUUUUUAACCCAAUUAUACACACUUGUAGAAAUUUUGAGCCAAAAAUUCGUCCAGAAACUCAAGAUAUGGCUUCACCCAUAACUAUUAACAAAACGAUAUACUUACUGCCUUCAAAUUACAAGUGCUGUCUUCAACGCCUCAUAACUCCUUCACCCAAUCUUAGAAUUCACUAUAUAGUAAGUAGAAUGUGUAGCCGAGAAAAUGCUCCCUCCAAAUCCAGUCGCCGAUCUUCCGUUGCUCUCCGUAUUCGUAUGUGAUGCCCAAAAGAAGUGACAGUAGGUAUGAAAUUGACACCUUAUCUUUGAACAUUCAUAUCUUUUCCAUAAAAACUCGAAAUCACACAAAAUCUUCACCCAAAUUAUACCCAAAACCAUAAACCUUCUGAUCCUAGCCUCAAAAGCUCGAAUGGCCUCGAAAGAGGAACCCUAAUUCCUAAUAUGGCCUCGGGCAGCCUCCUCAAAGCCC